Molecule: long non-coding RNA, 1028 nt
Organism: Leopardus geoffroyi (Geoffroy's cat)
Lineage: Eukaryota; Metazoa; Chordata; Mammalia; Carnivora; Felidae
Exons: 2
Source: RefSeq, a predicted model, not a curated record
AACUCAGAGGUAUUGGUCUGACAUUCCCCAUUUUCCCAAUGAGGAAUCUGGGGCUUUGCCAGGUUAGCAACAUGCCUGAGGUCACCCAGCUGCAGGUGGCAGAGCUGGCGCUCAAAUCCAGGCUGUCCUGCACCUGCAGCCACAACUCCAUUCCCAUGACCUGCUCAGCCCACACAUGGAGUGCAUCUGUGGUCCUCAGCAGAGGGCAGCCUAGUUUGCACAGGGUUUCCGGUGCCUCAUCCCAAAGCGUCUGAACCCACAGGACACGAAGCACAUCGCAUGGCUCUGUGCAGCCCUCCAGAGUGGGCUCUGAGCCCAGCUGGGUAUGCCGGGCUCUGCAGGAGCCCCCUUGGCCCCCAGCGCCCCUCUCCCAGGGGAGGCAGGGGUGGGAGGCUGCAGCUGUACGCUUUCCCCUUCUCCCCACACGGGGAUACCUGAGGUCGGGGCGAUGCUGCAGCAGCACGUGCUGUGCCAGGAAGUGCGCCAGACCUGGCCUGGAGCCGGGGAGGUGCCGGGCAAGUGGACGCUGCAGCUCCACUUUGGAAUUCCAGGCACAUCCAGAGGCUGUGGGGUUGAAGCCAGGAUGCACGGCCGAAAGAGGCCAGAGCAGACACCCCCCGGCACCUGCUGCGGCACUGGCAGUAGGGUGGGUGCUGUGGGUGCCUAAGGGACCCCCGCCUGGCCUUUACCCCUGUUCUCAUGCCCCCCAGGGCUCCCUGCCCCCUGCCUGCAGGAUCACAGCUCCACAGCUCAGUUCUGUGGCUCAGUGCCUCAGCCUUCAGGUCCUGUUUUUGAGCCCCCAGUGGGGGGGCCUACCUGGCGGGUGGAUGCUCCCUUGAAGAAUCCAGGCAUGGCCGAUUCCUCCCUGUAGGUCCAGGCCCAGACCAGGAAAUGGAACGUAACAUGUUCAUUGUGUCCCAAACACCAGAAAAGCACUGAAUAUCUGAGUGUGAUUGGCUUGAUUUUUAUAGAUGGAAACUGAGGCUACCCAGCUCCUGAGGAGCGAAGCAGUGCUGACCCAUCACCAG